UUGGCUCAGGAUGAACGCUGGCGGCACGCUUAACACAUGCAAGUCGAACGGAGUUUUGAGAGCUUGCUCUCAAAGCUUAGUGGCGGACGGGUGAGUAACACGUGAGCAACCUACCUUCAAGCGGGGAAUAAUGGAGGGAAACUUCCACUAAUACCCCAUAAGAUAGUAUUUCCGCAUGGAGAAGCUAUCAAAGAUUUAUUGUUUGAAGAUGGGCUCGCGUCCGAUUAGCCAGUUGGUGAGGUAACGGCCCACCAAAGCGACGAUCGGUAGCCGUACUGAGAGGUAGAACGGCCACAUUGGGACUGAGACACGGCCCAGACUCCUACGGGAGGCAGCAGUGGGGAAUA
RNAcentral lists this ribosomal RNA (347 nucleotides) under uncultured rumen bacterium. RNAcentral's name for it is "bacterial SSU rRNA". It matches the Rfam family "Bacterial small subunit ribosomal RNA", at positions 19 to 363 of the family's 1533-position model. The record is from RNAcentral.